GACGAACGCUGGCGGCGUGCUUAACACAUGCAAGUCGAACGGAAAGGCCCUGCUUGCAGGGUACUCGAGUGGCGAACGGGUGAGUAACACGUGGGUGAUCUGCCCUGCACUUCGGGAUAAGCCUGGGAAACUGGGUCUAAUACCGGAUAGGAGCCAUUUUUAGUGUGAUGGUUGGAAAGUUUUUUCGGUGUAGGAUGAGCUCGCGGCCUAUCAGCUUGUUGCUGGGGUAAUGGCCUACCAAGGCGGCGACGGGUAGCCGGCCUGAGAGGGUGGACGGCCACAUUGGGACUGAGAUACGGCCCAGACUCCUACGGGAGGCAGCAGUGGGGAAUAUUGCACAAUGGGCGCAAGCCUGAUGCAGCGACGCCGCGUGGGGGAGGACGGCCUUCGGGUUGUAAACUCCUUUCGCUAGGGACGAAGCUUUUUGUGACGGUACCUAGAUAAGAAGCACCGGCUAACUACGUG
This 465-nucleotide ribosomal RNA is filed under the name uncultured bacterium. RNAcentral's name for it is "partial 16S ribosomal RNA". It matches the Rfam family "Bacterial small subunit ribosomal RNA", at positions 28 to 507 of the family's 1533-position model. The record is from RNAcentral.